RNAcentral lists this ribosomal RNA (254 nucleotides) under uncultured bacterium. RNAcentral's name for it is "partial 16S ribosomal RNA". It matches the Rfam family "Bacterial small subunit ribosomal RNA", at positions 524 to 776 of the family's 1533-position model. The record is from RNAcentral.
UACGGAGGAUCCAAGCGUUAUCCGGAAUUACUGGGCGUAAAGAGUUGCGUAGGUGGCAUAGUAAGCAGACAGUGAAAUCGUGUGGCUCAACCAUACUCACAUUGUCUGAACUGCUAAGCUUGAGUAUAGGAGAGGUUAUUGGAAUUCCCAGUGUAGGAGUGAAAUCCGUAGAUAUUGGGAGGAACACCAAUGGCGUAGGCAGAUAACUGGCCUAUUACUGACACUAAGGCACGAAAGCGUGGGGAGCAAACGGG